This 266-nucleotide unclassified non-coding RNA is filed under the name fungal sp. Its description in RNAcentral is "partial internal transcribed spacer region". The stretch from base 1 to 46 matches the Rfam family "Eukaryotic small subunit ribosomal RNA", at positions 1786 to 1831 of the family's 1831-position model. Lineage: Eukaryota; Fungi. The record is from RNAcentral.
AAGUCAUAACAAGGUUUCCGUAGGUGAACCUGUGGAAGGAUCAUUAUCGAACGAAUGAAGUGCACAGUUGCUGCUGGUCGUCCGCGCAACAACAUGCAUGCUGCCAUUUCUCUUUCAUCCAUCCACCCCUUCCAUGCACUUUGCAUGGGCUGCGAUUCUCGCGGUCUAUGACUUACACACUCCGAAACCUGCAAAUGAAUGCAUUGAUCGAGCAUUUCAUCUCAAUAUAAUCUAAUACAACUUCAACAACAGAUCUCUUGGCUCUU